GAUGAACGCUGGCGGCGUGCCUAAUACAUGCAAGUCGAGCGAACGGACGAGAAGCUUGCUUCUCUGAUGUUAGCGGCGGACGGGUGAGUAACACGUGGAUAACCUACCUAUAAGACUGGGAUAACUUCGGGAAACCGGAGCUAAUACCGGAUAAUAUUUUGAACCGCAUGGUUCAAAAGUGAAAGACGGUCUUGCUGUCACUUAUAGAUGGACCCGCGCUGCAUUAGCUAGUUGGUAAGGUAACGGCUUACCAAGGCAACGAUGCAUAGCCGACCUGAGAGGGUGAUCGGCCACCCUGGAACUGAGACACGGUCCAGACUCCUACGGGAGGCAGCAGUAGGGAAUCUUCCGCAAUGGGCGAAAGCCUGACGGAGCAACGCCGCGUGAGUGAUGAAGGUCUUCGGAUCGUAAAACUCUGUUAUUAGGGAAGAACAUAUGUGUAAGUAACUGUGCACAUCUUGACGGUACCUAAUCAGAAAGCCACGGCUAACUACGUG
Molecule: ribosomal RNA, 497 nt
Filed under: uncultured bacterium
Lineage: Bacteria
Description: partial 16S ribosomal RNA
Rfam family: Bacterial small subunit ribosomal RNA
Source: RNAcentral